RNAcentral lists this ribosomal RNA (274 nucleotides) under uncultured bacterium. RNAcentral's name for it is "partial 16S ribosomal RNA". It matches the Rfam family "Bacterial small subunit ribosomal RNA", at positions 523 to 796 of the family's 1533-position model. The record is from RNAcentral.
AUACGGAGGGUGCAAGCGUUACUCGGAAUCACAGGGCGUAAAGCGCGCGCAGGCGGGCUGAUAAGUUGGAUGUGAAAGCCUACGGCUCAACCGUAGAACUGCAUCCAAAACUGUCAGUCUAGAGUGUGGGAGAGGAAGAUGGAAUUAGUUGUGUAGGGGUAAAAUCCGUAGAGAUAACUAGGAAUACCAAAAGCGAAGGCAAUCUUCUGGAACACUACUGACGCUGAGGCGCGAAGGCGUGGGGAGCAAACAGGAUUAGAAACCCCGGUAGUCC